This is a long non-coding RNA of Mercenaria mercenaria, 1071 nucleotides long. RefSeq lists it as uncharacterized. Lineage: Eukaryota; Metazoa; Mollusca; Bivalvia; Venerida; Veneridae. The transcript has 3 exons. The record is from RefSeq and is a predicted model, not a curated record.
GAAUAUGUAGACAAAUAUGAAUCUACCAGUCUAACUACACUUACAUCUACUACAGAAUAUCCUGCAUUGUUAACCAACAGUGAAACUGCCGCCGAGUUAACCACCAGUGGAGCUGCCGAGUUAACCAACAGUGAAACUGCAUAUUCAAAAAGUAUCAGCUGUUUUGAGGGUCAGUGUGCCACGAAUGACUGCAGUGAUUUAUUAACAGGUACUCGAGGUAGCUCUAGAUGCACAACUUCCGAGAAAGCAUUUUGUUACGUUGAAAAACAAGAAAUAACAAGAACCAAUGCAGUGAUGUACAGGUUUGGGUGUAGCUCAUUGUGCCUUACAGGGGUGUUUCGAAACACCGUCGGACAGAUCAACACAAAAUAUUGCUGCGCUACGGAAUUGUGUAAUAUGAACGGAAAUGACGUCAUGAAUAAUAUGACUUCAGCCAUGUUUGAGAAUUCGGCCGAUAAUUUCACGGAUCUGCUGGAAACUGCGGAUACUAAUACCACUGUUUCUAACGUUCUUGUUGGGAACAUAUCAUCGCAGAUGAAUACGACUGGUCUUUGGAUUAUCAUCACAUUAGUAAUAUACAAGUUAACAAGCUAUUAAUUUGACAAGUCCAUAGAUUUUUGAACAAAGUACCAUUUUAUGAUUUUUGAUAUUAUACAGAUGUCGUUUCGUGAAUGUGCUUUGAAAAUUAAUAUUGUAGUGUAUGACUGGAGACAGGACUCUGUAUAAUGGAUGGACAUAUCUAGAAACUACGCAUGCAGGUAACAUUUUCAAAUAGUUAAAACGAAGUAUGCGAUGGUGAGCCAUUUUGAUCCCUCUUCGUCCGAAAUGUUCGUCAGUCCAUUUUCUGUCAACAAUUUUAUUGUUUAUAAAUGGGAAAUCUGAUUGCUUUAGCAUUUUUAUGAAAUUUACACAGAAUUUGUCCGAUUACAAGAUCACUGACAAAUGCCAUAUUGCGUAUUGUUUGACACAUUAGAGAGGUCACAUUUAAAAGCGAUCUUCUUUCAACUAAUAGAAAAUGUAUACUUUUACAGGAUCGUAAAAUGGGGAAACUGCUAUUCAGUAUCACCAGAC